RNAcentral lists this ribosomal RNA (855 nucleotides) under Paromalostomum fusculum. Its description in RNAcentral is "eukaryotic LSU rRNA". It matches the Rfam family "Eukaryotic large subunit ribosomal RNA", at positions 659 to 1483 of the family's 3401-position model. The record is from RNAcentral. Lineage: Eukaryota; Metazoa; Platyhelminthes; Dolichomicrostomida; Dolichomacrostomidae.
ACACGGACCAAGGAGUCUAACAUGUGCGCGAGUCAUUGGAUUUUACGAAAUUCAAAGGCAAAGUGAAGGUAAAGGUUGCAUUACUGCAGCUAAGGUGGGAUAUGGCUUUAUAGCCAUCGCAGCACCGGCUCGUUCUAUUUGUUUUCAAAGGAGCGACGCAAGAGCGUACACGCUGGGACCCGAAAGAUGGUGAACUAUGCUUGCGCAGGUUGAAACCAGAGGAAACUCUGGUGGAGGACCGCAGCGUUUCUGACGUGCAAAUCGAUCGUCAAACGUGAGUAUAGGGGCGAAAGACUAAUCGAACCAUCUAGUAGCUGGUUCCCUCCGAAGUUUCCCUCAGGAUAGCUGGCACUCGGGAAACAGUUUUAUCCGGUAAAGCGAAUGAUUAGAGGUAUUGGGGACGAAACGUCCUCAACCUAUUCUCAAACUUUAAAUGGGUAAGAUGCUCGACUCGCUUAAUUGGAGUCGGGCUAUUGAAUGUGAGUGCUGUGUGGGCCAUUUUUGGUAGCAGAACUGGCGCUGUGGGAUGAACCAAACGUCUGGUUAAGGCGCCUAACGCGGACGCUCAUGAGACACCACAAAAGGUGUUGGUCGAUAUAGACAGCAGGACGGUGGCCAUGGAAGUCGGAAUCCGCUAAGGAGUGUGUAACAACUCACCUGCCGAAUCAACCAGCCCUGAAAAUGGAUGGCGCUUGAGCGUCAGGCCUAUACCAGACCGUCACGGCAAGCUUUUAAUUGGAAGCCGUGUCGAGUAGGAGGGUCUCCGUGGUGAGCAUUGAAGGCGCGGGCGUGAGGCCGGCUGGAGCCGCCACGGGCGCAGAUCUUGGUGGUAGUAGCAAAUAUUCAGCGAGAACU